UGGCGAUGCAAUAAUUGGGGAAUCUGCAGACAGUGAGAGCCCAUUCACGUGGGAGCCCAUACUGUAUCCUGCUUCCCCCACAGGGCCAGGCCUCCAGGGAUGAGGCUCCAGCUCCCGGGAUGAAGGGCGAGAGAACAUCCCGGCGGUUCCCGGCUGGCAACCCUCGCACCUCUUCCCCACUGCCCCUUCUCCAUACGGGCAUGGCUCCUUCACGGCCCUGUUUGGCGCAGAAGCAGCAGCCAAAGUUUCAUCCCAUUAAAACAUCGUAUUGAGUUAUUUCAGAGAGGGAGGGGACUUUGGUUUCUGCUUCUGUACUAGGCCGAUCGGGACGGAGCCCAGACACCCGUACGGAGGAGUUCAGGUUGGGGCAGCUAAUAAGAUCAGGUAGGAGGAAAUGCCCCCUUCCCAGGUCCCCCCCUCCUGCCCCAGACUGGGGCUAGAGUGGCUGGGAGCCAGGUGCCUGCUGAUGUCUCCGUUUGUUUUGCAGCGAGGAGAAGGUUCAGCCUGGGAGCCGCUGCAUCACGGGAGGGACUGGAGCCCAGACAAAGGCCUCUCACCCCAGAGCUAGUGGGAUAGGAGGAAGGACAAAGACCCCCGUACGGAGGCCAAGUGGGGAGAGCUGCAAAGAUCAGGGAGGGAGCCUUUCCCCAACAUAUACUUUGUUCUGGUCAAAUCCCUGGAGAGAUGUGACGACCCUCAGGUUCUGGGGCAGAGGGAACAAAGGGGUCCUUCCAUAGUUUUUGGCCCAUCAGAGGCCCAUUCACAUAUGAUGUCCUGCUUCCCCCACAGGGCCACACCUCCAGGGAUGAGGCUCCAGCGCCUGCUCCCGGGACGAAGAACAACAGACCAUCAUGAAGGUUCCCGGCCCCCUGACCCUCGCCUGCCUCACCCUCCGUCCGUUCUCCAUGUGGGCAUGGCUCCUUCCCGGUCCUACUUGGCGCAGAAGCAGCAGCCAAAGUUUCCUCCCAUUAAAACAGCCUCUCAAGUUAUUUCAGAGAGGAAGGGGACUUUGGUUUCUGCUUCUGUGCUAGGCUGGUCGGGACGGAGCCCAGACGCCCGUAAGGAGGAGGACAGGUUGGGGCAGCUAAUAAGAUCAGGUAGGAGGAAAUGCCCCCUUCCCAGGUUCCUCCCCCUCCUGCCCCAGGCUGGGGCUAAUGUGGCUGGGAGCCAGGCGCUUGCUGAUGUCUCUGUUUUCUUUGCAGGGAGGGAGCCUUUCCCCAACAUAUACUUUGUUCUGGUCAAAUCCCUGGAGAGAUGUGAUGACCCUCAGGUUCUGGGGCAGAGGGAACAAAGGGGUCCUUCCAUAGUUUUUGGCCCAUCAGAGGCCCAUUCUCAUAUGAUGCCCUGCUUCCUCCACAGGGCCACACCUCCAGGGAUGAGGCUCCAGCGCCAGAAUUAUUAAUGAGAGACCAUCAUGAAGGUUCCCGGCCCCUGACCCUUGCCUCCCUCACCCUCCGUCCGUUCUCCAUGUGGGCAUGGCUCCUUCCCGGUCCUACUUGGCGCAGAAGCAGCAGCCAAGGUUUCCCCCUAUCAAGAACACCUCCAGAGUUAUUCCGGAGCCGGGGGAGACUUGGGUUGCUGCCUCUGUGCCAGGCCGGCCGGGACGGAGCCCAGACACCCGUACGGAGGAGUUCAGGUUGGGGCAGCUAAUAAGAUCAGGUAGGAGGAAAUGCCCCCUUCCCAGGUCCCCCCCUCCUGCCCCAGACUGGGGCUAGAGUGGCUGGGAGCCAGGUGCCUGCUGAUGUCUCCCUUUGUUUUGCAGCGAGGAGAAGGUUCAGCCUGGGAGCCGCUGCAUCACGGGAGGGACUGGAGCCCAGACAAAGGCCUCUCACCCCAGAGCUAAUGGGACAGGGGAAGGACAAAGACCCCCGUAGGGAGGCAAAGUGUGGAAAGGCUCAGAGUUCAGGGACGUGGUUUGGGGAAGCCGCAACCAGCCCAGCAGCAGCCCAGCGGUGCAGGGAAACCCACCAAAAUCCGGAUUUAUGUUGUGACCUUGUGUGGCAGGGGAAGUGUUUCCCAGUGAUCUUGCCAGCUGGAGGAGGAAGGCCUGAUUUAGAGAUCCCUAUAGUUUUAUGGAGAGGGUUUCUCUGUGGUCCACCUGGCCAGGACAAGGAGUGGGAUCCUUUGCCAAGGCUGCGCUGGGGCAGAUUUAGGAUGGCACGACAGUGGCGCUCACGCUGGGCACCAUGCUGCAGAGGGGGCUAAAACAAUGCGGGAGGGGUGCCAAAUUCUAGGGUGGUACAGGCAGGGCCGUAGCUAGGGGGUGGUGAGGUGGGCCCCCAACAGGGGCGCAGGUGAGGGGUGGGGCACAAAAUGGGCUCAUAAAUAUGUCCAUAAAUAUGUCUAGAUAUACAGAUGAUAAUAAUAAAUAUUAUCAUCUAUAUAUUUAUCUGGAACUCCUCCAAGCAAUCAGAAUAACAGCUUGUUUCUUCCUCAGGCGAGAGGCCCGCCAGAACGAGGGGGGAAAGGCUCCCACUUCAGGCCUUUCCCCAACGUUUACAUUGUACUGGCCAAAUCCCUGGAGGGACGUGGCGAACAUCAGGACCACACCUCAAGGAAUGAGGCUCCAGCGCCUGCUCCUGGGACGAAGAACAACAGACCAUCACGGCGGUUCCCGGCCCCUGAUCCUCGCCUGCCUCACCCUCCAUCCGUUCCCCGUGCGGGGGCUCCUUCCCGGCCCUACUUGGUGCAGAAGUAGCAGCCAAGGUUUCCACCCAUCAAAAGCACCUCCAGAGUUAUUCCGGAGCCGGGGGAGACUUGGGUUGCUGCCUCUGUGCCAAGCCGGCCGGGACGGAGCCCAGACACCCGUACGGAGGAGUUCAGGUUGGGGCAGCUAAUAAGAUCAGGGAGGAGAAGGUUCAGCCUGGGAGCUGCUGCAUCACGGGAGGGACUGGAGCCCAGACAAAGGCCUCUCACCCCAGAGGUACUGGGACAGAGGGAAGGAUAAAGACCCCCAUAGGGAGGCAAAGUGUGGAAAGGCUCAGAGUUCAGGUAGGGGGAAAAGCCAAUUGAGUGCUGGAGUGGGGGGGGAGCAGGCCUGUCUUGCCCCACCCCCUCGCCCCCUCCUUCCAAGCCAGGGGUCUGGCCAUUAUGUGCCCAGGCAGGAGCAGUGAUCGUUGGCAGCCAGCGGUGACGUGGGCAUGGGCAGCCUGGCAGGUGUGCUUGUUCUGUCCCCCUCCUUCCCUGGGCCAGCUGGCCAGACACCCUUGCCAGUGGGUGUACUUUGUUCUGGCCAAAUCCCUGGAGAGACGUGAGGACCCUCAGGCACUGGGGCAGAAGGAAAGAAGGGGUCCUUUUGAAACAUGUUUGGGGAGUCGUAGGAACACUGUCCCCUGUGGCUGUUGCCCAAGCCGCCCUUAUAAAAAGAACAGGUAAGAGGAAGGAAAGAUUUCCAUGGGACUAGGAGAACACCCUACAAGUUGAGUGUCAACAGAGAAUGGAAGAACCUUCUUGCAUGAGAGGAGAAAAGAGGUGGUCUCGUCCAGAAGUGGAUUCCUCCACAGGGCCACGCUUCCAGAGAAUGAUCUCCAUCGCCACUUCCCAAGCUGAUGGACAAUAGCAAAACUCCGUCAUCUGUGGCAUUCCAGACUUGCAUUUCUGGAUUGACUCCCAAAAUAUAUGAACAGGAAAGAGCGAUCACAAGCACCAGCUCCUUGAUUAAGCACUUCUCUCAACAUUUGAACUUUGAUGUGAGUAAGCAGGUCUCAAGGUGACUUCUGGACUAAGGCUUAAUGCUGAAAAUUCAGAUUAAUAUUUUCAUAGGGCCACGCUUCCAGAGAAUGGUCUUCGUCGCCACUUCCCAAGCUGAUAGACAAGAGCCAAACUCAGUAUUCUGUGACAUUUCGGUCUGGCUUUUCUGGAUUGUAAAGUCCUUCCAUGUCGCUGGAGGAAUCUAUGCUACUCAGUGCCUUGCAUGUUUUCACGGAUGUCCUGGUUGCUGUCUGAAUGUGUCCUUCCCUGAAAGCGGAGAGCAGCAUGACUGGCACAUGUUAAAACUAAACAAAGAAAUUAGAGCAAUUGGUUGCUUUCGAUAUGCCAAUGAUCAAAUAAUAUUUCAUAAUAAAUAGUGUUAAAAAGGAAAUAAGCUGUUUUCUGUCCUUCUCUGCCUUCUCUGACUGCUACUGCGAGCUCUGCUUAAGAAGGCUGGAGCCAGCUGGUUUUCAUCAGCACUUUCUUCUUGGAGUCCUUGAAGCAGCAGGUGAAGUCACUCCCCCUUUUACCCUUCAGGCUGCUGUUCAGCAGGUGAAGCAGAUUCCUGCCCCAUGACACUAUCCCACUCCCCAAGGUGCG
Molecule: non-coding RNA, 4290 nt
Organism: Podarcis muralis (Common wall lizard)
Lineage: Eukaryota; Metazoa; Chordata; Lepidosauria; Squamata; Lacertidae
Source: RefSeq, a predicted model, not a curated record